RNAcentral lists this ribosomal RNA (512 nucleotides) under uncultured bacterium. Its description in RNAcentral is "bacterial SSU rRNA". It matches the Rfam family "Bacterial small subunit ribosomal RNA", at positions 28 to 524 of the family's 1533-position model. The record is from RNAcentral.
GACGAACGCUGACGGUGUGCUUUAGACAUGCAAGUCGAGCGAGAAAGCCCUUCGGGGUUAGUAAAGCGGCGAACGGGUGAGUAACACGUGGGCAAUCUGCCCCUCGCAGGGGGACGAACCGGGGGAAACUCCGGCUAAUACCCCGUAAGUUUCCAGAGUCGCAUGGCUUUGGAAAGAAAGGUAGCUUCGGCCAUCCGGCGAGGGAUGAGCCCGCGGUACAUUAGCUAGUUGGUGGGGUAACGGCCUACCAAGGCGGCGAUGUAUAGCUGGUCUGAGAGGAUGAUCAGCCACACUGGGACUGAGACACGGCCCAGACUCCUACGGGAGGCAGCAGUCGGGAAUCUUGCACAAUGGGCGAAAGCCUGAUGCAAGCAAACACCGUGUGAGCGAUGAAGGCCCUAGGGUCGUAAAGCUCUGUUGUUGGGGACGAAGGGCGAAGGGUUAAUAGCCCCCAGCUUGACGGUACCCUUCGAGGAAGCUCCGGCUAACUACGUGCCAGCCGCCGCGGUAAU